CGCACAUUGCGCCCGCCAGUAUUCUGGCGGGCAUGCCUGUUCGAGCGUCAUUUCAACCAUCAAGCCCCGGGCUUGUGUUGGGGACCUGCGGCUGCCGCAGGCCCUGAAAACCAGUGGCGGGCUCGCUAGUCACUCCGAGCGUAGUAGUUUACACCUCGCUCAGGGCGUGCUGCGGGUUCCGGCCGUUAAAAGCCUUAUUUUACCCAAGGUUGACCUCGGAUCAGGUAGGAAGACCCGCUGAACUUAA
This 247-nucleotide unclassified non-coding RNA is filed under the name Humicola homopilata. RNAcentral's name for it is "partial contains 5.8S ribosomal RNA, internal transcribed spacer 2, and large subunit ribosomal RNA". The record is from RNAcentral. Lineage: Eukaryota; Fungi; Ascomycota; Sordariomycetes; Sordariales; Chaetomiaceae.